UACGGGGGGGGCAAGCGUUGUUCGGAAUUACUGGGCGUAAAGGGCUCGUAGGUGGCCAACUAAGUCAGACGUGAAAUCCCUCGGCUUAACCGGGGAACUGCGUCUGAUACUGGAUGGCUUGAGUUUGGGAGAGGGAUGCGGAAUUCCAGGUGUAGCGGUGAAAUGCGUAGAUAUCGAGAGGAACACCUGCGGCGAAGGCGGGUUGCUGGGCCGACACUGACGCUGACAGUGCGAAAGCUAGGGGAGCGAACGGG
RNAcentral lists this ribosomal RNA (254 nucleotides) under uncultured bacterium. Its description in RNAcentral is "partial 16S ribosomal RNA". It matches the Rfam family "Bacterial small subunit ribosomal RNA", at positions 524 to 776 of the family's 1533-position model. The record is from RNAcentral.